UUCAAUACAAUGACGAGACGAGUAGGAUGUGGAAGAAGACAGAGAAGGGAGUCGCAGGCUGGAAGCUCCCGCUUACGGAAACAUUUGAAAACUACCUCUGAGUGGCUGAAAACAGCCCGGUGAUCCCGUUAUCAUCACAAAUGAGUGGUUUCGGUAUUUAAUACCGGUUCAAACAGGGUGGAACCGCGAGUAUGAUCUCGCCCCUUUU
This 208-nucleotide non-coding RNA is filed under the name Mediterraneibacter gnavus. RNAcentral's name for it is "Ruminococcus gnavus T-box sequence". It matches the Rfam family "T-box leader". Rfam says of the family: Uncharged tRNA acts as the effector for transcription antitermination of genes in the T-box leader family. T-boxes are found upstream of many aminoacyl-tRNA synthetase genes and some amino acid biosynthetic genes usually in Gram-positive bacteria. The anticodon of a specific tRNA base pairs to a specifier sequence within the T-box motif, and the NCCA acceptor tail of the tRNA base pairs to a conserved bulge in the T-box antiterminator hairpin. Lineage: Bacteria; Bacillati; Bacillota; Clostridia; Lachnospirales; Lachnospiraceae. The record is from RNAcentral.